RNAcentral lists this ribosomal RNA (556 nucleotides) under Cheilosia soror. Its description in RNAcentral is "partial large subunit ribosomal RNA". Lineage: Eukaryota; Metazoa; Arthropoda; Insecta; Diptera; Syrphidae. The record is from RNAcentral.
UAUCCGUUAUGGAAAAUUCAUCACUAAUAACUAUGAUAUUUAUAAUAUUAUAGAAAUGGUGUGCAAUUUUUCCAUAUAAGGACAUUUGUAAUCUGUUAAUGUAAUAAAUAUUUAUUAAAAGAUCUUAUACAUAAGUUUAUUCAAAUUAGUUAUUUUCGGAUUUCUAACAUAGAAUAAAUGUAUUUGAUUUAAUAAAUCAUUGACAGAUUUAAUUAUAAUAUAGUGCUUAAAUUUUGAAAGAAAUUUUACAAUAAUAUGAUAAUUCAAUUUGUUAUAUUUAUUGUAUGCACUUAUAUGAUUAACAAUGCGAUAGAUUCAGGAUACCUUCGGGACCCGUCUUGAAACACGGACCAAGGAGUCUAACAUAUGUGCAAGUCAUUGGGUAUUUUUAAUAAAACCCAAUGGCAUAAUUAACUUAACUGUUUUUUAAAUGGGAUUAGUUUAUAUUUUAUUAUGAAAUAUUAAUUCAAUCCCGGGGCGUUCUAUACAGUUAUGCAUAAUGAUAUUUAUAUUAUUUAUGUCUCUAACUAGAGCGUACCUUGAGCAUAUAUGCUGU